RNAcentral lists this ribosomal RNA (610 nucleotides) under Nyctanolis pernix (nimble long-limbed salamander). RNAcentral describes it as "partial 16S ribosomal RNA". Lineage: Eukaryota; Metazoa; Chordata; Amphibia; Caudata; Plethodontidae. The record is from RNAcentral.
CUAGCAAGUAUUACCCAACAAAAAGAAUUUAAGCGGGACCCCCCGAAACCAGACGAGCUACCCUAAGGCAAUAUAUAAAUUCAUCUCUGUGGCAAAAGAGUGAAAAGACCCAAAGGUAGAGGCAACAAACCUAACGAGCCUGGACAUAGCUGGUUACUUGAGAAUGAAUUUUAGUUCAAUUAAAAGCAACCCUACCACCAAGGAAAAACACCGCUUCUAUUAUAACCAAUUAAGGUACAACUUAAUUAAUGAAGGAAACAACCUAAACUAAUAAAUAAUGAUUAUAAUUUUCAAGGACCUCAACUCAGUAGGCCCAAAAGCCGCCACCAUAUUAAUAGCGUCAAAGCUUAACUAACACAACACCCAUUAUUACAAUAAAUAAUCUAAAUUUAAUAAAACAAUCAAGUUAAUCUAUAUAUAGAUAAAUUAUUACUAGAAUGAGUAACAAGGAAUACCUCAAGAUACAUGUGUAAAUCGGAACGAACCACUCACCGAUAACUAACGAAUAUAUUUAUUUAAACAAGACAUAAAUAUUUUAAAUCGUUUACCCAACACAGGAGUAUUUAAGAAAGACUUAAAAUCCAGAAAGGAACUCGGCAAACCCAGGCCC